CAAAGAUCUUUAAGAAACAUCAAUCUCUCUGCUCUCAGGAAACUUGCUAAGUUUCAGGUGGAUAAAACACUGAUGACAUUUUAUUGAGUCUGUGCUGACUUUCUCCAUUAUCUGCUGGUAUGGAAGCAUCACUAUCAAAGAUAAGAAUGUACUUUCCAAGAUGGUGAAUGUGGC
Molecule: long non-coding RNA, 174 nt
Organism: Sphaeramia orbicularis (orbiculate cardinalfish)
Lineage: Eukaryota; Metazoa; Chordata; Actinopteri; Kurtiformes; Apogonidae
Exons: 3
Source: RefSeq, a predicted model, not a curated record